This 395-nucleotide ribosomal RNA is filed under the name uncultured bacterium. Its description in RNAcentral is "partial 16S ribosomal RNA". It matches the Rfam family "Bacterial small subunit ribosomal RNA", at positions 361 to 773 of the family's 1533-position model. The record is from RNAcentral.
AUCUUAGACAAUGGGCGCAAGCCUGAUCUAGCCAUGCCGCGUGAGUGAUGAAGGCCUUAGGGUCGUAAAGCUCUUUCGCCAGGGAUGAUAAUGACAGUACCUGGUAAAGAAACCCCGGCUAACUCCGUGCCAGCAGCCGCGGUAAUACGGAGGGGGUUAGCGUUGUUCGGAAUUACUGGGCGUAAAGCGAGCGUAGGCGGACUAGUCAGUCAGAGGUGAAAUCCCAGGGCUCAACCCUGGAACUGCCUUUGAUACUGCUAGUCUUGAGUUCGAGAGAGGUGAGUGGAAUUCCGAGUGUAGAGGUGAAAUUCGUAGAUAUUCGGAGGAACACCAGUGGCGAAGGCGGCUCACUGGCUCGAUACUGACGCUGAGGUGCGAAAGCGUGGGGAGCAAAC